UAGUAAUUAGUAAAUGUCAAACGAAGUUAACGUGUCUCUCGAUAAAAUAUUAAUCAAAUUUUUAUAUACAGAAUUACAUUCAAUAAUUUUGUUUCUUUUAUCGAAUAAUGCAACGUGUUUUUUUUUCGACAGGAGUGCAUAGGGUGUGUUGCGAUUGGAAAAGAUAUUUCAAUUAAUUACAUUUUGUAUUCGUUGUAUUUGUGUUGUAGAGAUCGGCCUCAAUUUCCUUCUUUAUUUCUUUCUUCCGACACUAUGGUGAAUCAUUUUCUCAUGCAAAGUAUGUAAAUACAUACACAUGUAUAUAUAUAUAUAUAUGUAAAAUGCUUACGUAAACGUACAUGGUGGACUACUUGACAGACGAUUUUACGUAUUCCUAACCACACACUGCGGACAGGAUGAUACUUUUGCCGCGAUAAAAUGAAUGUCGUCAUUUGAUGGACCCACCGACCAACCUUUUUUCGUUUUAAAAUUCAUUCCACUUUUGUAUUUCCUAUUUUCCGA
RNAcentral lists this long non-coding RNA (501 nucleotides) under Polistes fuscatus (common paper wasp). RNAcentral describes it as "uncharacterized LOC122517054". Lineage: Eukaryota; Metazoa; Arthropoda; Insecta; Hymenoptera; Vespidae. The record is from RNAcentral.